AUGAAUGGCUUUCAAAACUUGGAG
This 24-nucleotide non-coding RNA is filed under the name Arabidopsis thaliana (thale cress). The record is from RNAcentral. Lineage: Eukaryota; Viridiplantae; Streptophyta; Magnoliopsida; Brassicales; Brassicaceae.